CUGAUUUGAAGCUGCAUAAAGUUCCUGAACGCAGGCAAACUGACACUGAGAAGGACAAACAAAAGAUUUAAUUUCUGCACCAUGAAGAUGCUGACUGUGUUUCUGCAUGUGUUUCCUGAACGCAGGCAAACUGACACUGAGAAGGACAAACAAAAGAUUUAAUUUCUGCACCAUGAAGAUGCUGACUGUGUUUCUGCAUGUGUGUGUCAUGAUGACUUUCACACACAGUCUGUGUGAGUAUUUAAAACACAGAAGUUCCUCUCUCACUUUUUCUACAUUAUCUAUACAUGCACACUGUAUAUAUAGAAUAUACAUGCAAAACAUAACCAGAGAAUGGAAUAUCUUAAAUUUUGUCUUAAACCCAUGUUUGUAAAAAAAAAAAAAAGUGUCAAGGCUUUGCAAAACUGAAUUAAACAAUCGGAACUUUUUCUUUGUCUAAACAUGAAUGAGAAUCAUUGUACAGUAAUUUCAUAUAAUAUCUAAGCCUAUGUAUAGAUAUACCAUGACUAUACUGUAUAUAAGGACAUGCUGAUCAAUUUGAGUUUGAUUUGUUUGCAUUUUGCCAAUAUCGCUUCACUUCUGUGAGUAACUUGCAUCACAAAUUUUCUACUUCUUUUUAAUCACUUUUGUUACUAAUCACAAACAAUAUUUGUGUGUCAAAUAAAAUGUAUUUUAAACUGUCUUUGCAGCUGUUCCAGAGGAAACAACUGUGCCAGGUGAAUAUAAAGGUUGUCUUUUAGUGGGAAUAUACUCUAUUUUGAUCCACUAGUAAAUAAUUAAAGCGAUUAAUCUACAAUACUAACUGCAACCAAAAACAUCAACUAAUGCAGAUGGAGACUGUUUGGGAGUACUGCCAUAACCUUCACUUGGAGUACAUUACUUCUUUUCUCCUCCAAAAGUCAGGCAUACAGAAAGUCUACACAGCAGACUCAUUUUCAUGUGUUCUUCUUUAUCUACGAUUUGUUUUUAAAAAUAUUGUACAAUAAUGUAAUAUAAUACACAUUAUAAGCUUGUGUAAUCAUACAUUUAUUAUACUGUACAUAAGGACAUGCUAAGUGACAUAAUUCUUAGUUUACAUUUUGCUAAUAUCUCUUCACUUCUGUAAUUUACCUGCAUUUUGUAUUUCUUUUUAAUGUUGUAAAACGUAGAAGGUAAUCAAUGACACCACAGCAAUGAUACACUGAAAAAAAUAUCUGUGGUUCAAACUGUCUUUGCAGCUCUUCCAGAGGAAACAACUGUGCCAGGUGAAUCUAAAAGUUGUCUUUUAAUGAGAAUAAUUUUUUAUCCACUAGUAAAUAUUGAAAGUUUUUACCCCAUGAAGUUAAUUGCAACAAAAGAACAUUUUAACUCAUGCAGAUGGAGACAACUGGGGAACACCACCAUCUCCACCAUCUACAGAAGAUGACUCAUUUGGGGGCUGGCAUCCAUCUUGCCCAGAUGGAUGGAGUAUGCACAGUCAACAGUGCCUCAUCUUUGUUCCAGAAAACAUGACCUGGGACGAUGCUCAGAAUAACUGUCACUCUCAUGGAGGACAGCUUGCAUCUGUGUAUGAUGACUUUCAAGCUUAUGAGAUUCAAGCGGAGCUGAAGCGUGCUGGACAUGAUCAUGGAGAAUUUUGGGUUGGAGGCCAUAAUAGUCCAGGGAAUCCUUCUUGGUCCUGGAGUGAUUAUUUGGGAAUGUCUGCUUUUGCUGACUUUUGUAAUGGAGACACAGCCGAAGAUGAGCACCACUGUUUGCAAAUAACUUUUACUGAGGAAAAGAGUGGAUGCUUAGAGAGCAUGGACUGUGAAACUGAGCUCCCGUCUAUCUGUGGAAACAUUAUUAUGUAAUUGUGAAUCAACUCUAUAAUGCAUCAGUAAAAAGCACAAAGAUCUGUGUUUUUCUUUCUCAGUGCUGUUUCUUUCUCUGUAUUUCCACACCAUCGCUAUGAUGCAAGCAAUCAGGCAUCAUGUGCAAUGAACUGGAGCUGAAUUUUCUGUACGAUUAAAAGAAAGCUUUCUGUAGACCUUUACUUUGUAGAGUGAACUGUAUCUCAUUCUUAAAUUAAAACUGUUAGCAAAAAAAACAAAAAAAAACAAAAAACAAAACAAAAAAAACAACUGUUAGCAUUGAAAUUUGUCUGUGAGUUAUUCACCACUAACAUUAGCAAAUUGAAUACAAAAUGGGGUUUUUUAAAGUUUAUGUCCAAAUGCCCCAAAGGAGCUGUGCCUUCCAUGGAUGAGAUGUUUAUUCAUGGUGACAUAGAAACUGUCAAUCAUGUUCUUCUGACAGCCAGCAGGGUGGAGGCAUGGCUACCGACCCUGCUGGUUACAGAGAUGUUCCUCCAAACUGCAGCAUGUCUGGGUUAAGAUAAGGAAAGUCAAUGGUAGACACCAGAAUAGGCUGCAGUCUGACUAAAGUAUUGUAACCCACGCCCCAACCACUCAGGGAGGAGUUGAAUAUGAGUGCAAAUAACCAUAACACACAGGAAUUUCAGUUGACUGUGAGUUUAGUUAUCAACAACCUCAAAAAGAAAUUACAACGUUGGCCCUUUGCUAAAUAAACUCACUGAAAACUCAUUGCUCUUAAUUAUCUGAAUUAUCCAUUUAAAACAUAUUUGGUUAGGUUGCAGCCUUGCCCUUCCGUUUGCUCCACAGAUUUAUAAAGCGGAGAUGAUUGUCAAGUCAGAGAACAGAGAGGGUAACACUUUAUAACUUGACACGCAAAUAAAGCACAAGUACCCUGUACUUACUUAAGGAGACACAAAUUCUUCUGUAAAUAACUUUAAGUAUCGUAGCAGCCUAAGUAAUUACUAAGUAAUUAAGUAAUGCUUAAGUAAUAUUCUGCAUAAUGAAAGUCUGCCUAUUCAACUCUCUCUAUAUAUUACCUUUAAAAAUUAAUACAGUAAUAAUCACUUUCUUCUUCUUAUUGGAAAAUAUACAUUGAUACGAACAAUCAAACUUUGUAGACCAUAAGCAUAAUCUGACCAUAUAAUAAUGGAGACAAGGAGAGUUAUUUUCAUUAAACUGUAGUUAAAAAAGAAGAACAUGAAACAAUUCCAUAACCCUUAAAAAAAUAAGUUUUAACAAUACAUUACCAUAUUGUGGCGUGUUGGGGGAGCGGCUAGUUCUCUCCCAUCAUGCCUUGGGACUGCUGUUUGGAUGUUCUUGUUUUGUUGUUUAUGGUUACACUACUUUUAACUGUUAUCUUGAAUGUUGUGUUUGUACUGCAGUUCAAAGGCACUUACAGUGUUGUUUUAUAGAAUGAAUGCAACCAUGGGUGAGUUCUGUUAUGCUGUUGAUGACCCUCGAAGCAUAGUGUAGCAUCAGUGUGUGUUGUAAUAAAGAGCUCCCCCUACCAGCUUGGGGUUGAAUAACAAUCUCUCUCUGUGAGCUUCUUUGUAAAGAUUCCUCUGCAUGCCACAUUGGUGUCAGAAGUGGGAUUCCAAGAGCAUGGCCACUAUUCUGAAAGAGGAAGAGGAGCUGAGGAAGAUUGAGGAGCUUAUCACUCACCUGGAAGCAGUGAAUGGAGCACAAUUGAAGAAGCGGGGAGAGCCCCGGGCAGCAGCAAGCCAGCCAGGGGAAGAUCUGUGGGGCUUACCAGAUGGAGCCUCACACCCCCGCCCACUGGGGAGCUGUCGGAGCCGCCAAGGCAUGCUGCAGGCUCCAAGACCACGAGCGACCGGUCAGCCUCCACUCAUGGUGAUGCCUGGGAGCAGCACACCCUCAUCGUUGGCAGCCGAGGGGGACAACGCCAACUGUCUCCAGGACCAA
This is a long non-coding RNA of Astatotilapia calliptera (eastern happy), 3752 nucleotides long. Lineage: Eukaryota; Metazoa; Chordata; Actinopteri; Cichliformes; Cichlidae. The record is from Ensembl.